RNAcentral lists this long non-coding RNA (1003 nucleotides) under Manacus vitellinus (golden-collared manakin). RNAcentral's name for it is "lncRNA (ENSMVIG00005016845.1)". The record is from RNAcentral. Lineage: Eukaryota; Metazoa; Chordata; Aves; Passeriformes; Pipridae.
UUCAGUUUGAAACCCUUCCCGCAGUUGGUGCAGCGGAAGGGCCUCUCAUCCGUGUGUGUCCGCUCAUGCAGGAGGAGAGCUGAGCUGGUCUGAAACCUCUUCCCACAUUCCAAGCACUUGUAGGGCCGUUCCCCAGUGUGGAUGAGCUGGUGGGUGCGGAGGUUGGAGCUGCUCCUGAAGCUCUUCCCACAUUCCCCACAAUUGUACGGCCGUUCCCCAGUGUGGAUGCGACGGUGUUGGAUCAGGUGGCAGUUCCUGUUGAAGCUCUUGAGACACUCCCCACACGUGUAGGGCCGUUCCCCAGUGUGGAUGUGCUGGUGACGGAGCAGGUGGGUACUCUUCCUGAAGCUCUUCCCACAUUCCAAGCACCUGAAGGGCUUCUCCCUGCUGGGAGGCUGCUCAGGGACCACCAGCUCAGAGCUCCCCCUCAAGCUCCGGCCGCCUUCCCAGCACAGGCUGGCUCUUUCCUCCUCAGAGCACCCUGGGCUGGCUUUGGAGCCCCUCCUGCGGGGGGAUCUCCGGCCCUUUUCCUCCCCGCUGCCUUCCUGCGCCGGGGAGCCCUUCAAAACGGCCUCUCCCACCAGGCUCUGCCGGGGGGAUUUGUCCUCCGGGCUCUCCGUCCUCAGCUCGGGGCCUGGGGCAGGAAGCAAGAAGGACAGGCAGGGGAUUUGCCUCCGGCCCACAGGGAAGGCCAAGGACAUCCCCCCAACUCCGGCCCCGGCAGGACGGCGGCGCCAGCGGGGUUGUCCUGCAGCCGGGGCCAUGCUGGGCUGACAGAGCCAGCACAACACCCGCCCAAAGGGACACUGACUUCCUCCUCACCUGCCUGGGGGGCCCAAGGCAUCUUCCUCUUCCUCGCAGCCUCCUCCUCCAUCCGCCCAAGCUUUGGGAAGGACAAAUCCUGAUGGGGGGGAAAACAAGGGCUGAGCUCGUUGGCUUGGGGGUUCCUCCUGCCCAAGUCCAUCUCUAGAACUCACCGGGCAUCCUGUGACCAUAAAAACCU